This 451-nucleotide ribosomal RNA is filed under the name uncultured bacterium. RNAcentral describes it as "partial 16S ribosomal RNA". It matches the Rfam family "Bacterial small subunit ribosomal RNA", at positions 28 to 523 of the family's 1533-position model. The record is from RNAcentral.
GAUGAACGCUGGCGGCGUGCCUAAUACAUGCAAGUCGAACGAAGCCUUCGGGCUUAGUGGCGAACGGGUGAGUAACACGUUGGUACCUACCCUCUAGUGGGGAAUAACUGGCCGAAAGGUCGGCUAAUACCGCAUAAUACCGCAAGGUUAAAGCAGCAAUGCGCUAGAGGAGGGGCCUGCGUCCCAUUAGCUUGUUGGGAGUGUAAUGGACUACCAAGGCGACGAUGGGUAGCUGGAUCGAGAGGUUGACCAGCCACACUGGGACUGAGAUACGGCCCAGACUCCUACGGGAGGCAGCAGUAAGGAAUCUUCCACAAUGGACGAAAGUCUGAUGGAGCAACGCCGCGUGCAGGAUGACGGCCUUCGGGUUGUAAACUGCUUUUAUAUGGGAAGAUUAUGACGGUACCAUAUGAAUAAGGACCGGCUAACUACGUGCCAGCCGCCGCAGUAA